Molecule: ribosomal RNA, 442 nt
Filed under: uncultured bacterium
Lineage: Bacteria
Description: partial 16S ribosomal RNA
Rfam family: Bacterial small subunit ribosomal RNA
Source: RNAcentral
CCUACGGGUGGCAGCAGUGGGGAAUAUUGGGCAAUGGACGCAAGUCUGACCCAGCCAUGCCGCGUGAAGGAAGAAGGCUUUCGGGUUGUAAACCUCUUUUGUCAGGGAAGAGUAUAACGCUGUCACUGACGGAUAAGCCACGGCUAACUACGUCCAAGCAGCCGCGGUAAUACGUAGGUCGCAAGCGUUGUCCGGAUUUACUGGGUUUAAAGGGCGUGUAGCCGGGUUGACAAGUCAGAUGUGAAAUCCUGGGGCUUAACCGCAGAACUGCCUUUGACACUGUUGCUCUUGAGUAUAGGAGAGGCAGGUGGAAUUCCUGGUGUAGCGGUGAAAUGCGUAGAGAUUAGGAGGAACACCGGUGGCGAAGGCGGCCUACUGGACAGCAACUGACGGUGAGGCGCGAAAGCGUGGGGAGCAAACAGGAUUAGAUACCCUUGUAGUC